Molecule: long non-coding RNA, 502 nt
Filed under: Homo sapiens (human)
Lineage: Eukaryota; Metazoa; Chordata; Mammalia; Primates; Hominidae
Description: HSALNT0290587
Source: RNAcentral
GUGAUCAUCCCACCUCAGCCUCCCAAACUGCUGAGGCUACAGAACCGCUCUGACCAUGGCAUUGAGAAUAGAAUGUUGGGGGCAAAGGCAAGAGAGCCAAAUAGAAGACCCUUAUAAUGAUCCAAGAAUGAUGGGAAAGGAGAUGGUGAGGAGAGGCUGGCUUCUGGAUAUACUUUGAAGACCUGCCACACCCGAAGCCUUCUUCAGCUCCAUGGAUGGCUCUCUUCUUCCAAUUGCCCAACAAAAACCCUGGCGUUGCCUUGAAGCACCCCACAUUGAAUCCAUUGGAAAAUCCUACUGGCUCUGCCUUCCUGACUCUGCCCACCGCUGCCUGCCUCCACUGCUCCCAACCUUGUCUGAGCCACAGUGACUUCUCACCUGGUUACUGCAAUGGCCCCAUCUACUCCCCCAGCUUCCUCCUUGUCCCCCUGAAGUUCAUUUAUUUUUAUUUUUAUUUUUAAAUUAAGUAGAGACAUAGUCUCACUAUGGUGUCCAGGCUGGU